This 447-nucleotide ribosomal RNA is filed under the name uncultured bacterium. Its description in RNAcentral is "bacterial SSU rRNA". It matches the Rfam family "Bacterial small subunit ribosomal RNA", at positions 331 to 795 of the family's 1533-position model. The record is from RNAcentral.
CCAGACUCCUACGGGAGGCAGCAGUGGGGAAUAUUGCACAAUGGGGGAAACCCUGAUGCAGCGACGCCGCGUGAGUGAGGAAGUAUUUCGGUAUGUAAAGCUCUAUCAGCAGGGAAGAAAAUGACGGUACCUGACUAAGAAGCCCCGGCUAACUACGUGCCAGCAGCCGCGGUAAUACGUAGGGGGCAAGCGUUAUCCGGAUUUACUGGGUGUAAAGGGAGCGUAGACGGAAUUGCAAGUCUGAUGUGAAAAUCCGGGGCCCAACCCCGGAACUGCAUUGGAAACUGUAUUUCUAGAGUGUCGGAGAGGCAAGUGGAAUUCCUGGUGUAGCGGUGAAAUGCGUAGAUAUCGCGCAGAACUCCGAUUGCGAAGGCAGCAUGCCGGCUCCACACUGACGCUGAGGCACGAAAGCGUGGGUAUCGAACAGGAUUAGAUACCCCAGUAAAC